AGGGAAUCUUCGGCAAUGGACGGAAGUCUGACCGAGCAACGCCGCGUGAGUGAAGAAGGUUUUCGGAUCGUAAAGCUCUGUUAAUCGGGACGAAAGGCCUUCUUGCGAAUAGUGAGAAGGAUUGACGGUACCGGAAUAGAAAGCCACGGCUAACUACGUGCCAGCAGCCGCGGUAAUACGUAGGUCCCGAGCGUUGUCCGGAUUUAUUGGGCGUAAAGCGAGCGCAGGCGGUUAGAUAAGUCUGAAGUUAAAGGCUGUGGCUUAACCAUAGUACGCUUUGGAAACUGUUUAACUUGAGUGCAAGAGGGGAGAGUGGAAUUCCAUGUGUAGCGGUGAAAUGCGUAGAUAUAUGGAGGAACACCGGUGGCGAAAGCGGCUCUCUGGCUUGUAACUGACGCUGAGGCUCGAAAGCGUGGGGAGCAAACAGGAUUAGAUACCCUGGUAGUCCACGCCGUAAACGAUGAGUGCUAGGUGUUAGACCCUUUCCGGGGUUUAGUGCCGUAGCUAACGCAUUAAGCACUCCGCCUGGGGAGUACGACCGCAAGGUUG
Molecule: ribosomal RNA, 549 nt
Filed under: uncultured bacterium
Lineage: Bacteria
Description: bacterial SSU rRNA
Rfam family: Bacterial small subunit ribosomal RNA
Source: RNAcentral